AGUGUAACGGAUAGAAAAUAGUGAAUUAUACUUCAUGUUGAAAUAUAGUGUAACUUAUCUAGGUCAAGUCCCAGCAGGAGAGGGCAUCCCCAGUUUUGGGAUGUGACGUAGGACCAGAUAGACCAUGUCCAUAUUUGGUACAGAGGAGCCCUUGGUUCCUUUUAUGGACAUAGAAGAACUAGGAACUCUAAGAAAGUACCUGGUGAUAAUAGUCUUAGGAAUGUAUGAGUAAUAUUACGUAGGAGGACUUCCUGUCCAGUUACAUAUAAAAAGACACCAAAGUUCCCUGACUUGGUCAGUCUGUUCGAGUCGGCCAGUCAGUGUGUUUGUGAGACCAAGAAGUGCAGUCAGUUGUAGAAGGAAGUCUGCCCGUCUGUUUGUGUUCGACUGGUCAAGUAAGUCAGAGCUAUUGUAUACACAACGCAAUGUCCUAAUGUGUUAAUUGUUGAUAGUGUAACAGUUAUAGUGUUGUUUCCGUCUUAACUUGUCUUGGUAAUAAACUGCUAUACACAAGAAUACAGAA
Molecule: long non-coding RNA, 523 nt
Organism: Branchiostoma floridae (Florida lancelet)
Lineage: Eukaryota; Metazoa; Chordata; Leptocardii; Amphioxiformes; Branchiostomatidae
Exons: 2
Source: RefSeq, a predicted model, not a curated record